This 1431-nucleotide ribosomal RNA is filed under the name uncultured bacterium. RNAcentral's name for it is "bacterial SSU rRNA". It matches the Rfam family "Bacterial small subunit ribosomal RNA". The record is from RNAcentral.
AGGAUGAACGCUGGCGGCGUGCUUAACACAUGCAAGUCGAACGAACCUUCGGGUUAGUGGCGGACGGGUGAGUAACGCGUGGGAAUCUGCCCUCAGGAGGGGGAUAACGGCUGGAAACGGCCGCUAAUACCCCAUAUGCCGAGAGGUGAAACGAAUUUCGCCUGAGGAUGAGCCCGCGUCUGAUUAGCUAGUUGGUGAGGUAAGAGCUCACCAAGGCAUCGAUCAGUAGCUGGUCUGAGAGGAUGAUCAGCCACACUGGGACUGAGACACGGCCCAGACUCCUACGGGAGGCAGCAGUGGGGAAUUUUCCGCAAUGGGCGAAAGCCUGACGGAGCAACGCCGCGUGAGGGAUGAAGGCCUCUGGGCUGUAAACCUCUUUUCUCAAGGAAGAAGAUCUGACGGUACUUGAGGAAUAAGCCACGGCUAAUUCCGUGCCAGCAGCCGCGGUAAUACGGGAGUGGCAAGCGUUAUCCGGAAUUAUUGGGCGUAAAGCGUCCGCAGGCGGCCUUCCAAGUCUGCUGUUAAAACGUGGAGCUUAACUCCAUCAUGGCAGUGGAAACUGUUGGGCUUGAGUGUGGUAGGGGCAGAGGGAAUUCCCGGUGUAGCGGUGAAAUGCGUAGAUAUCGGGAAGAACACCAGUGGCGAAGGCGCUCUGCUGGGCCAUAACUGACGCUCAUGGACGAAAGCCCAGGGAGCGAAAGGGAUUAGAUACCCCUGUAGUCCUGGCCGUAAACGAUGAACACUAGGUGUCGGGGGAAUCGACCCCCUCGGUGUCGUAGCCAACGCGUUAAGUGUUCCGCCUGGGGAGUACGCACGCAAGUGUGAAACUCAAAGGAAUUGACGGGGGCCCGCACAAGCGGUGGAGUAUGUGGUUUAAUUCGAUGCAACGCGAAGAACCUUACCAGGGUUUGACAUCCUGCGAAUCUCUUGGAAACGAGAGAGUGCCCUCGGGAACGCAGUGACAGGUGGUGCAUGGCUGUCGUCAGCUCGUGUCGUGAGAUGUUGGGUUAAGUCCCGCAACGAGCGCAACCCACGUCUUUAGUUGCCAGCAUUUAGUUGGGCACUCUAGAGAGACCGCCGGUGAUAAACCGGAGGAAGGUGUGGAUGACGUCAAGUCAUCAUGCCCCUUACAUCCUGGGCUACACACGUACUACAAUGCUACGGACAAAGAGCAGCAAGUUCGCGAGGACAAGCAAAUCUCAUAAACCGUGGCUCAGUUCAGAUCGUAGGCUGCAACUCGCCUACGUGAAGGAGGAAUCGCUAGUAAUCGCAGGUCAGCAUACUGCGGUGAAUACGUUCCCGGGCCUUGUACACACCGCCCGUCACACCAUGGAAGUUGGCCACGCCCGAAGCCGUUACUCCAACCCUUGCGGAGGAGGACGUCGAAGGUGGGGCUGAUGACUGGGGUGAAGUCGUAACAGAGGUAGCCGU